RNAcentral lists this non-coding RNA (25 nucleotides) under Mus musculus (house mouse). Lineage: Eukaryota; Metazoa; Chordata; Mammalia; Rodentia; Muridae. The record is from RNAcentral.
UGGUAAUUAGGAACUUAAUGCUGAG